Molecule: long non-coding RNA, 409 nt
Filed under: Equus caballus (horse)
Lineage: Eukaryota; Metazoa; Chordata; Mammalia; Perissodactyla; Equidae
Description: lncRNA (ENSECAG00000058838.1)
Source: RNAcentral
GAGCAAGUUUACCUUGGCACAGGAGCUCAGGUGGGGCUGUGAGAAACCUUAUCUGUGCUUGCCCGGUAAACAAGGAGCCCUCCAUCUCCCCAGAGCCUUGGCCACCCAGCAGGUGACCACAGGAGGCAGGUGAGCUGGGAGAGCGGCAGGCUGGCCAGAGCCAUCACAGAGCUCAACUGGCCCGGGAGCAGGCUGUGUUAGGUAAAUGUUGCCUGGAUUUGGUUGACAGACUCAUUUACUGAUUGUCUGUUGGUUGCCAAGAGAAAUGCCAUCAAAUUCACCAGAUGCAAAGAGCUGCAGGGUGAUGUCAACGGUGCUUGUCUAUGGACCACACUGCGAGCAAGCGAAAUCUUAAUGUUCAGAUGACUGCGUGCAUUUUACACAGUGGAAAUAGUUACCAUUUAAGGAG